RNAcentral lists this ribosomal RNA (399 nucleotides) under uncultured bacterium. Its description in RNAcentral is "bacterial SSU rRNA". It matches the Rfam family "Bacterial small subunit ribosomal RNA", at positions 975 to 1375 of the family's 1533-position model. The record is from RNAcentral.
CUGGUCUUGACAUCCCGAUGACCGGAACUUAACCGUUCCUUCUCUUCGGAGCAUUGGAGACAGGUGGUGCAUGGUUGUCGUCAGCUCGUGUCGUGAGAUGUUGGGUUAAGUCCCGCAACGAGCGCAACCCUUAUCUUUAGUAGCCAGCAGUAAGAUGGGCACUCUAGAGAGACUGCCGGGGAUAACCCGGAGGAAGGUGGGGAUGACGUCAAAUCAUCAUGCCCCUUAUGACCAGGGCUACACACGUGCUACAAUGGCGUAAACAGAGGGAAGCGAGAUGGAGACAUGGAGCAAAUCCCAAAAAUAACGUCCCAGUUCGGAUUGUAGUCUGCAACCCGACUACAUGAAGCUGGAAUCACUAGUAAUCGCGGAUCAGAAUGCCGCGGUGAAUACGUUCCC